RNAcentral lists this long non-coding RNA (1640 nucleotides) under Canis lupus dingo (dingo). RNAcentral describes it as "lncRNA (ENSCAFG00020002566.1)". The record is from RNAcentral. Lineage: Eukaryota; Metazoa; Chordata; Mammalia; Carnivora; Canidae.
AGCUCCUCGGCCGCGCGGGCCACCGGCCUCCGGGGUUGCAGGGUGCAGGCCAGCCGCCGGGGCGGGCCGCUGCGGGGCUUUGGGACAGUGGGACGUGGACUAGUCCCCAAGCCAGUCCCUUCCGCCCGGCCCCCGCCGCGGGAAGUCCCCCGCCCCGAGCCCGGCGGCGGCCUAGACGGUGUGGGGUGUGGGGUGUGGGGUGUGGGCGACCCCGCCGCAGGGGCCCCGCUGCGCCCGGAGGCCAGGCUGUCCUAGGCCCUGAUGUGCCCUAGAUGGAACGCGGCUCUUCCCGGAGCCACAAGCAUUUCUUUAUUCAUCCCCUACUGCGCCCGGGAGGGCAUCGGGGACCGGCUGGGCCGUGGGCUUCGGGCAGGACUGGGCUCGGCGCCCCAGGCCCUCGGCCUGGCCAGGGAGCCCCCCAGUCCCUAGACUCCUCUCCAGCCAGGUCUACACCGUCCCCCAUUCAUAUUCUUCCGGGUUAGUAACAGCUUCUUUUAAAGCAAAACCGCCCCAGAAGGUCCCGGAGCUCAGUCGAUUCCCCUCUUGGUGUGAAUUCGCUUAAUCCCCGGCUAACGGGUACCGACGUCCCCCACCGCGUGCGGGCCAGGGCGUUGGACCCGGGCUUUCAGGGUUUGGAACCAAGCGGUCUCCCUCCCGGAUUCCCAGAGCCCCAGGGGAGCCAGGCCUUCCUCUUUGGCGCCCAGGAAACUAAGCUUGCCCUUGGCAAAGAGCAGCCCCUACCCUACCUGCUGGUCCCUUGUCUUGCCCCACUCUGUUCAUCAAGACGUGAUCACACAAGGCAAGCUUCUCUGGUUCCUAGCGAGAUACUGGUGGGUAAUCCUAAGGUUGGGCUUUCCAAGUGCUGUCGAAAAAAGAAAAAAAAAAAAAGAAAAGAAAAUGAGACCUGUCUAAAACUAAUUUCUCACACUAUGAAGGUGUGAGAAGGUGUCGGUGCUUUUUUUUCCAUCACUCUACACUGGCUUUCAUGCACAGACAAAAUUUAUGUGAGCGUAUACCAACAGCAUCAUUCAGCAACCCAGCCAAACCACUCUUGUUUCAGCCUUCCUUCCAGGCUCCCCACCCACCCAUUAGAAAACAUAUAUUAUAUGAAAAUGUCUGCAUCCUACUAUUUUUUUGAAAGUAACUCUGCUGUUGCCACUAUUUAAUUUGUUUCUCUGGAAUGAGUUACUGCAAAAUACUUCUUGGUACAAUUUCAAAUUUGAUAAGCUUUCAGAUAAAUAUUUUUACCCAAACUCUGAAAACCGAUAGGGAUUCCAAAAUAGCACACAGCGGUAAACGGCAUUUAUUGUUCCAUAAAUCCUGGGACUUCAAAAAAGAAAUGCUAAAUAGAUAAACAAAACUCUAAAGCAAUUAAGAGACAAGCUCACUUCUCUCACACUGGUGGGCACAGGAAACAUUUGGUCACACAAAAGCAGUUAAGAUGACAAGUGAGUCACUGAUUUUUUUUUUUUUUUUUUUUUUGUCUUAAUCAGGCUUGAACUCUGCUGUUCUGAGUUCAUGCAUUUACACAGUACCAUCAUUCUGGAGAAUUCCUAAUGGCUAAGAUGGUGAGAUUUUAUUUUAUCUAUAUUCACAUCCAUAAAAAUAAAAUAAAUAUAAAGAUGAUCCCUAUUUUUUAA